CCAAUAGCGUAUAUUAAAGUUGUUGCAGUUAAAAAGCUCGUAGUUGAAUUUCGGGAUCAGUAGGUCGGUCGUGCCACUGGUAUGAACUGGUCUCACUGGUUCCUCCCUCUUGACGAACUGCAAUGCUAUUAAUUUAGUGUUGUAGGAAAUCAGGACUGUUACUUUGAAAAAAUUAGAGUGUUUAAAGCAGGCUUUGGCUUGAAUACAUUAGCAUGGAAUAAUGAAAUAGGACGUUCGAUCCUAUUUUGUUGGCUUCUAGGAUUGACGUAAUGAUUAAUAGGGACAGUUGGGGGCAUUAGUAAUCAAUUGUCAGAGGUGAAAUUCUUGGAUUUAUUGAAGACUAACUACUGCGAAAGCAUUUGUCAAGGAUGUUUUCAUUAAUCAAGAACGAAAGUUAGGGGAUCGAAGACGAUCAGAUACCGUCGUAGUCUUAACCAUAAACUAUGCCGACUAGGGAUCGGAUGAUGUUAAUUUUUUAAUGACUCAUUCGGCGCCUUACG
This 500-nucleotide unclassified non-coding RNA is filed under the name uncultured Glomus. Its description in RNAcentral is "SSU rRNA". It matches the Rfam family "Eukaryotic small subunit ribosomal RNA", at positions 591 to 1092 of the family's 1831-position model. Lineage: Eukaryota; Fungi; Glomeromycota; Glomeromycetes; Glomerales; Glomeraceae. The record is from RNAcentral.